UACAGAGGGUGCAAGCGUUAAUCGGAAUUACUGGGCGUAAAGCGCGCGUAGGUGGUUUGUUAAGUUGGAUGUGAAAGCCCCGGGCUCAACCUGGGAACUGCCUUUGUGACUGCAUGGCUAGAGUGCGGCAGAGGGGGAUGGAAUUCCGCGUGUAGCAGUGAAAUGCGUAGAUAUAUGAAGGAACACCAGUGGCGAAGGCGACCACCUGGACUGAUACUGACACUGAGGUGCGAAAGCGUGGGGAGCAAACAGG
RNAcentral lists this ribosomal RNA (253 nucleotides) under uncultured bacterium. RNAcentral's name for it is "partial 16S ribosomal RNA". It matches the Rfam family "Bacterial small subunit ribosomal RNA", at positions 524 to 776 of the family's 1533-position model. The record is from RNAcentral.